GUUCGCCGGAAGACCAAGGGUUCCUGUCCAACGUUAAUCGGGGCAGGGUGAGUCGGCCCCUAAGGCGAGGCUGAAAAGCGUAGUCGAUGGGAAACGGGUUAAUAUUCCCGUACUUGGAUAAACUGCGAUGUGGGGACGGAGCAGGUUAGGUUAUCGCACUGUUGGAUAUGUGCGUUUAAGUUGGUAGGUGUGAAGUUUAGGCAAAUCCGGACUUCUUUAACACUGAGAGAUGAUGACGAGGCUCUACGGAGCUGAAGUAACCGAUACCACACUUCCAGGAAAAGCCACUAAGCUUCAGGUUUAUCUAAACCGUACUGAAAACCGACACAGGUGGUCAGGUAGAGAAUACUCAGGCGCUUGAGAGAACUCGGGUGAAGGAACUAGGCAAAAUAGCACCGUAACUUCGGGAGAAGGUGCGCCGGCGUAGAUUGUAGUCCCUUGCGGGCGAAGGUUGAACCGGUCGAAGAUACCAGCUGGCUGCAACUGUUUAUUAAAAACACAGCACUCUGCAAACACGAAAGUGGACGUAUAGGGUGUGAUGCCUGCCCGGUGCUGGAAGGUUAAUUGAUGGUGUAAUCGAAAGAGAAGCUCCUGAUCGAAGCCCCAGUAAACGGCGGCCGUAACUAUAACGGUCCUAAGGUAGCGAAAUUCCUUGUCGGGUAAGUUCCGACCUGCACGAAUGGCAUAAUGAUGGCCAGGCUGUCUCCACCCGAGACUCAGUGAAAUUGAAAUCGCCGUGAAGAUGCGGUGUACCCGCGGCUAGACGGAAAGACCCCGUGAACCUUUACUAUAGCUUGACACUGAACAUUGAAUUUUGAUGUGUAGGAUAGGUGGGAGACUAUGAAGUAGUCACGCCAGUGAUUAUGGAGUCGUCCUUGAAAUACCACCCUUUAACGUUUGAUGUUCUAACGAAGAUUACGAAACGUGGUCUCGGACAGUGUCUGGUGGGUAGUUUGACUGGGGCGGUCUCCUCCCAAAGAGUAACGGAGGAGCACGAAGGUUUGCUAAUGACGGUCGGACAUCGUCAGGUUAGUGCAAUGGUAUAAGCAAGCUUAACUGCGAGACAGACAAGUCGAGCAGGUACGAAAGUAGGUCAUAGUGAUCCGGUGGUUCUGAAUGGAAGGGCCAUCGCUCAACGGAUAAAAGGUACUCCGGGGAUAACAGGCUGAUACCGCCCAAGAGUUCAUAUCGACGGCGGUGUUUGGCAC
This 1208-nucleotide ribosomal RNA is filed under the name metagenome. RNAcentral describes it as "bacterial LSU rRNA". It matches the Rfam family "Bacterial large subunit ribosomal RNA", at positions 1332 to 2524 of the family's 2925-position model. The record is from RNAcentral.